This 73-nucleotide transfer RNA is filed under the name Sandaracinaceae bacterium. RNAcentral's name for it is "tRNA-Thr". It matches the Rfam family "tRNA". Rfam says of the family: Transfer RNA (tRNA) molecules are approximately 80 nucleotides in length. Their secondary structure includes four short double-helical elements and three loops (D, anti-codon, and T loops). Lineage: Bacteria; Pseudomonadati; Myxococcota; Polyangiales; Sandaracinaceae. The record is from RNAcentral.
GCCGCCAUAGCUCAGUUGGUAGAGCAACGGUUUCGUAAACCGUAGGUCAGCAGUUCAAAUCUGCUUGGCGGCU